CGGGAUGUAGCAUAGUCAGGUUAAUGUGCCACGCUGGGGGUGUGGAGACCGGAAGUUCGAAUCUUCUCAUCCCGA
Molecule: transfer RNA, 75 nt
Filed under: Flavobacteriales bacterium
Lineage: Bacteria; Pseudomonadati; Bacteroidota; Flavobacteriia; Flavobacteriales
Description: tRNA-Pro
Rfam family: tRNA
About the family: Transfer RNA (tRNA) molecules are approximately 80 nucleotides in length. Their secondary structure includes four short double-helical elements and three loops (D, anti-codon, and T loops).
Source: RNAcentral